UGUAAUUAUAUUGGCCCAUCAUCCAUUCAUUUUGGACUGUUUUCAUUGUGACUUCUCAAUUUACCAUGCAAAGUUUUGCCUUUACAAAAGGGAAGAACAAUGCAAGUGCUAGAAGUGGUCUUCUCUCGUACUUACACUUCUCUGUGUCUUUACGGUGUUUCCAUAAGUUUUAUUUGUUGGGUUUGAAAUCGACAGUGCAUCAUACGGAAGCUAUUAGUUGUAAACUAUCGUGGUGAUAAUUCAGACGACAAAGAAAACAAUACUAAAAGCAUUAAAUUAUUAUAUGUUUUGUUCAAUCGGCCUACAUAUAUAAAACCUAAUAUCAAAAACAUUAAAUCUAUUGGGAGAAAUCUCCCCCCAAACAAAGACUCUUUAAUGACUACAUUGU
This 388-nucleotide long non-coding RNA is filed under the name Capsicum annuum. Its description in RNAcentral is "long non-coding RNA (CANN_LNC000289)". The record is from RNAcentral. Lineage: Eukaryota; Viridiplantae; Streptophyta; Magnoliopsida; Solanales; Solanaceae.